GAUGAACGCUAGCUACAGGCUUAACACAUGCAAGUCGAGGGGCAGCAUGAACUUAGCUUGCUAAGUUUGAUGGCGACCGGCGCACGGGUGAGUAACACGUAUCCAACCUGCCGAUGACUCGGGGAUAGCCUUUCGAAAGAAAGAUUAAUACCCGAUGGCAUAGUUCUUCCGCAUGGUAGAACUAUUAAAGAAUUUCGGUCAUCGAUGGGGAUGCGUUCCAUUAGGUUGUUGGCGGGGUAACGGCCCACCAAGCCUUCGAUGGAUAGGGGUUCUGAGAGGAAGGUCCCCCACAUUGGAACCGAGAAACGGUCCAAACUCCUACGGGAGGAAGCAGUGAGGAAUAUUGGUCAAUGGAAGAGAGUCUGAACCAGCCAAGUAGCGUGAAGGAUGACUGCCCUAUGGGUGGUAAACUUCUUUUAGACGGGAAUAAAGUGAGGCACGUGUGCCUUUUUGUAUGUACCGGAUGAAUAAGGAUCGGCUAACUCCGUG
This 489-nucleotide ribosomal RNA is filed under the name uncultured bacterium. Its description in RNAcentral is "partial 16S ribosomal RNA". It matches the Rfam family "Bacterial small subunit ribosomal RNA", at positions 28 to 507 of the family's 1533-position model. The record is from RNAcentral.